Molecule: long non-coding RNA, 1521 nt
Filed under: Homo sapiens (human)
Lineage: Eukaryota; Metazoa; Chordata; Mammalia; Primates; Hominidae
Description: HSALNT0306968
Source: RNAcentral
CCUCCCAAAGUGCUGAGACUACAGGUGUGAGCCACUGCGCCCGACCAACAGUCUCUUAAAUAAAGUUUCAUGUACUCUUUGGCCCAGCAAUUAAGCUUUAUAGAAAUUAUUGCUGAAGUUUGAGAAGUCAUAUUUGCAAGGAUGUUUAUCAUAACAUAAUACUUUUAAUUCCAAAGAGUAGAAAUAAAAUGUCUACCCUAAGGGACUAAUAACAAAAAUUCUAGUAUAUUGCUAUCAUGGAAUACCUAGUUAGUUACAAAAAGGAAUGAGAUGGAUAUGUCUGUGCUCAUACGGAAAGUUUCACCAAAUCAGUUACUAAGUGAAAAUGUAAAGUUGAGAACAACUUGCAUCAUUCACCUUUGAAUAAAAUGUUGUAUAAUGAUUAUAUACAUAAAGUUGUAUACGUUAGCAUGUGCAUAAUGUUUUCCCCUCUGGACAUGAGUGAAGUGUUACAUCUAUGGAAAGAGUCCAAAAAGGUGUCAGAGGAUUCUGUUGCUUUCCAGUUAAUAUUUCUAUAUUACUUGAACAUAACGCACCAUGUGUAUGUAUUACCAAAGCCCAGAUAUGGAAAAUUUGCACACUGAAGUUUGAGGAAUAAAGGACAGCUUGACUAAAAUGACAUCAAUCCACUUGAAAUUUUGCAACCAUCUGUGUGAAUAAACGUUCUUUAAAUACCUCUUGACUUCAACCCACUUGGAUUUUGCUUUUGGAUUAUUUUUUCACUUGGGUUGGUUACUUCCAAUUUGGCGUUGAUGAUCUGAUGCCUACUUUUUUACCUGUCUGUGGCAAACAGUUUAUCUAGGCUGCUUAAUUGACUUUUGCUACUUUCUCCUUGGAUUCUGACUGCAGCUAUGUUCUGCUUCCAGGUCAGUCCAGUUUGGCUUCAGGUUCUAUUCUUCAAUACGUCCACUUAAUUCUGGACUCAACUUUCUCACUCUGACAAUUUCAGCCAACAAAUUCCUAGAAUAUGUUAUCUUGCAAAAGAAAGUGACAACUAUGACAUCUCAGUCCUUGAAGAGACCUGGUUAUCUUGCAACUGGACAAGGUUGGAUGCUGAAAACAGAAAGUUGUUUGAAAAUCUUUAGACCACCAGAAGGCCAGCUCCAACUCACCCUGACUACUGCUCUCAUCCUCUACUUAAGCUCAUUUGCUUCAAUCACCUGGCUUAUAUGGAGAAGGACACAAAACAACAUUUGGCGUCACUCAACUCCAGUGAUAAAAGUUAUUCCCCAAACCCCAGCUGAAUGGAUUCUAUUGGUCUGAAGGAUGGACAGAUGAGACUCUAUAUAAUGCACAGGAAGACAUGAAUACAUGGAACUACUAAUUCAGCAUUACUUUCAGAAAUGAUAGAAGCAUGUAACAGGGCAAAAAAAUGUGAAGAAAGUGUUUAUGCUGCCAGUAUUGUAAUCACAGUGUAUUCAAGGAACUCCACUGAUGUUUUAUAGAAUCCAGAUUUAUGAAGCCUGGAGAUUCACCAUAAACCUUAGCAUCAACUUGCUGAAGUGAAUAGAAAUGACAACA